GCCAGGUGUGGUGGCGAGCACCUGUAGUCCCAGCUACUUGGGAGGCUGAGGCAGGAGAAUCACUUGAAACCAGGAGGUGGAGGUUGCAGUGAGCUGAGAUUGCACCACUGCACUCCAGCCUGGGUAACAGAGUGAGACUCUGUCUCAA
Molecule: unclassified non-coding RNA, 148 nt
Organism: Macaca fascicularis (crab-eating macaque)
Lineage: Eukaryota; Metazoa; Chordata; Mammalia; Primates; Cercopithecidae
Rfam family: Metazoan signal recognition particle RNA
About the family: The signal recognition particle (SRP) is a universally conserved ribonucleoprotein. It is involved in the co-translational targeting of proteins to membranes.
Source: Ensembl